GUGUAAUGUUAUAGGCUAACGCGUCACGAAUGAGCAAAUUCAUUGAAAAUAUUAGAUUUUUGUUAUGGUUUAAAUACAUAUCGUAGGACAUAUAUCUUAAAGGUACGUUUUUUUUUCGACACACGUUUGUUUUCUUUAACAGUAUUAGCAAGCACCAACAAAAUGUAAUGGCCACAAAAUCCUUCACUACGAAAAUGGACCGUUAUUUUGUUAUUUAUUAAGCAUAUUACUCCACGUCUAGACAAUUAUGAAUGAAUUUACAACUGACGAAAUUCGAGAUUGAAUUUGUAUGGACGCAGGUAGAAAAUUACUUAUCUGACGUUUCGAUUUAAAUAUAUCAAGAAAAGGCUCAUUACUAAAAUUCAUUUGCGAAAGCGUUUAAAUUUUACACAUACAUAUGGGUUUUUAACUAAAAUAGACUUUAAAAUACUUUAUACUGCAACAGCCAUGUUUGCCUUCAAUAUUUAAAAAAAACCACGAAUACAAAAACACCUUUUAACUUAGGUAUGUUCACAGAGCGUUCUGGAUUAUGAUGUACCUUCAUCAGAAAUUCUCAAUUCAAACUUUGUGAAAAAAAUGUAUACAACAUAUCUUAAUAUUUUAGAAGCUUUAUGUCAAAACGUUACUAGGCUAACAGGUUAAAUUUCAUUGGGACGUCUUAAUUGUAGUUAUAUCGAAGGUAAUGGUUUGACCUUUGGUACGGUCAUAUUAAAGAAAUGAAAACUGUUUCUUGUUCCAUCUCUUCCCAACGCUGUUUGCUGUUUCUGUUGGCUUUCUGUUCGGUGUGAGCCAAGGCUCCAUGUUUAAUACCAUACUUCGACUUAUUAUGGUUUCUCUUUGCAAAUUAUGACUUGGAUGGAGAGUUGUCUCACUGACAUUCAUUCAACAUCUUCUAAUUUACUCAUUACUAAAAAGUAUACGGAACAAGCAAGCAAAUCAAAAUCCCGGCUAUUCUUGAUUUCUUAUUAGAAUGUUUUCGAACUUAGUAUACCAAUAGAAAUUGCCACUGAAGGAUAAAGAGCCAUCCGUCUACCAAAGAUUUGUAUACAGAAUAACCCCAAAAAAUCAAAACAUGUAUUAUAAAUUAUGUGGAGAAACGUUUAAUUAACAAAAUAAAAGAAAAUUAUAUGGACAUAUUUAUAAAAUAUACUGUUUGCAAAAGAACGAAUUAUUCGAAAUACUAAGGAUUUUGUUAUCCCUUAUAUUACCGUAUUUGGCACAAAAUUUUGGAAUUUUGGUUCCUCAGUGCUCUUCAACUUUUUAUUUGUUUUUGCCUUCUAACUAUUUUGAUCUGAGUGUCACUGAGGAGUCAUAUGUAGACACGUCUGGUAGUUGCGUAUCACGUUAUUAGCCUGUUAUCUUUGAUAUAACUAUCAACUAACAUAAUCAACUCAUUUAUUUCAUUUGUUUUAAAUGUCUAGUCUUUCGCUUUCUGUUUUUGUUUAAAAUUAAUAUGCAUGACAAAUUUAAAAGGACAUAGACACUUGACGAUUGAACGAUUUUCAAUGACAUAAAGUUUUCAAUAUAUUUACGUACAUUUGUACAUGAGGUUUUCAAAAUCGGUAACAUAAGUCUGAAGAUUGUUAUUAAUGAGGCAUUUCAUUGAGACAGUUAAUGGGUGUCUAUUUAAAGUGAUAUUGUAUUGAAAGAUAAACAAUAAAUCUGACUAAAAAAAAUAAACAACAAAAUACAAUGAACUAAUUUUAGCUGUAUUGGAAUAUAAGUAUAUUUACUUGAUUUUACAGUUUGUUUCUAUAGUGUAUAAUGACAACACUGUCAAAGAUAAGAGGAGGGCUGAACACUCACACACAUGUUUACUCCUCCACAUUCUGUAUUUGCCUGUCCAAAAUCAGAAGCCUGAAGUUUAGUGGCUGUCGCUGGUUCUUGUCUGUCAUAUCAGUUUUCGUAAAUUGUUUUGUAUCAAAUGAGACCAUUAGCUUUCUCGCUGUCACAUUUUAUCUGUCGGGGGCCUUUGAUAGCCGGCUAUACGUUAUUGAUUUUUCUGCUAGUCGAAGGCCCCGCGGUUACCCAUAUUUGUAGCCACUCCAUUUGAACGUUACGGGAAAUGUCUCAAUGGCACGAAUAUAUAUAUAUUCUAUCUCUAAAUUUUCGUAUUUUAAUGAUUGUUUGCAUUACUACAUUAGGAUCUGGAUGGGAAUCCCUUCGUUUAUGCUUUCCUUGAUUGUUCUUAAUUUUUUAUUUAUAUAUUUUGCUUAUUAUUCUCUAUUCUAUAUAUUUUAGUAGCCAAUUUUUCUCAAUUCUUUGUAAUUCUAUUUUUUUUCUUUAUUCUCUGUUUUUGUUUGUCUUUUAUUUUACACAUGUUAACCAUUAUUCUAUAUUUGGUUUACCUCUCCCGGACCCUCCUACAUGUACAUCUCUAAGUGUUUCCAGUUUUGCACCUAUGUUGAUAUGUUAAAACUAGCUGCUGUAUUUUAACAUGUUAUAAUUAUUACAGUUUUGUAACCUACCUAAUGGUAAUUUGCAGAUCAUUAUUUUAAUUAACAGAUGAUCUGAAAGCUUAUUCUUAGCACUGAUUCGUUUAUUGGAGACUGAUGGGUAAUUAACCAUGACAACGGGGCAGUUUUCUACUUAUACAUGUAUGCAAAUGCACUGACCUCAAGAGAAAAUGAAGAGUCCAAAGACCAUUUUCUUCAAAGUAAGUGUGUUUUUUUUUAAUUCAGUUGAUGGUACAAUGUAGUCUUUAAAGAACAUAAAAUUAGAAAAACAUCCCGUAUACAGUUUAGAAAAUUUAUGUUCAUGCGUUGAUAAAGUAUUUGAUUGAAGUAAAACAAGUGUUACAAAUGUCGCACUGUAAAACCAAAGCGACCUUGCACUCUUUCUAUCAAAAAUACUUUUUUUUUCCACGAUCUUGAGAACAAAAAUCUUUAAAAUAAGCCUUUUUAAAACGUGUUUGUCUUAUCGAAGUAGAAGAAUAACACUGUAUAUAAUUCUAAUUCGUACAAGCCAAACACGUUUUAAAUGUAACAGCCGAUUGCAGCGAGUGAACAGAUAAAGGUAAUAUUUCGGUUAGCUUGCUUGCUAGCUGGACCGUGAAGUCAUUAUAAGGUCAGGUAAGCUACCCUCUUUUAAGAGAAGACUAGUCCGACAGAUAACCAAUAUAUCAAUCUGUAGGACAAGGCUACUUCGUAAGGAGGGUAGUACACCUUACCUUAUAAUGACUUCACGAUUCAGCUAUCAAGAAAGCUAACCAAAAAUAUCACCUUUACCUACACACUCAAUGCAAUCGGCUAUAAAAAAAAUCUUCAUUAUAUUGAAUUGCAAUAUAACACUUAUGACUUUGAUGAGCUAUAAGGUUUCCCUCAAUAUGUGAGCACUACACUACCAGGCCCAUUUUCCUCUUUUAUGUUAUGAAUAUUUCGACAUAAAAAUGUAAAUCCAAUACCCUCCUCAACAAGAUAAUAUUAUUUUAAUCAAAUUUUAGUUUUUAUUAGUCUGAUUUCGUUAUGCUUUAGGUGUACCUGCUGACGGUAACUAUUUAUUCAAUAUCUUCCUUUGAACUGGUUUGCCCAGAAACAUCGCAAUGGAGGUUUUCGGCACAGAGUCGGUGCUCCAAAAAUCAUGACAACUUACAUUACUACUGUUUGUAUGAUGCAAACAACCUGAAAUUUAUAGAACAAUGCAGAAAGAAGACUGAUUUUCAAAGACCAGG
This 3670-nucleotide long non-coding RNA is filed under the name Mytilus galloprovincialis (Mediterranean mussel). The record is from RNAcentral. Lineage: Eukaryota; Metazoa; Mollusca; Bivalvia; Mytilida; Mytilidae.